GACGAGCGCUGGCGGCGUGCUUAACACAUGCAAGUCGAACGAUGAAGAAGAGAAACGCGAACUUCGGUUCAAAUUUCACUUCGGAUUAGUGGCAGACGGGUGAGUAACGCGUGAGCAACCUACCUCUUACAAAGGGAUAGCCUCGGGAAACCGUGAUUAAUACCAUAUGACACAUUCAUAAGGCAUCUUAAGAAUGUUAAAGCUACGGCGGUAAGAGAUGGGCUCGCGUCCCAUUAGCUAGUUGGUGAGGUAACGGCCCACCAAGGCGACGAUGGGUAACCGGCCUGAGAGGGUGAACGGUCACAUUGGAACUGAGACACGGUCCAAACUCCUACGGGAAGCAGCAGUGGGGAAUAUUGCACAAUGGAGGGAACUCUGAUGCAGCGACGCCGCGUGAGCGAUGAAGGAAUUCGUUUCGUAAAGCUCUGUUCUAUGGGAAGAAAAGGACUGUACCAUAGGAGAAAGCCCCGGCUAAAUACGUG
Molecule: ribosomal RNA, 482 nt
Filed under: uncultured bacterium
Lineage: Bacteria
Description: partial 16S ribosomal RNA
Rfam family: Bacterial small subunit ribosomal RNA
Source: RNAcentral